GACGAACGCUGGCGGCGUGCUUAACACAUGCAAGUCGAACGGAAAGGCCCUGCUUUUGUGGGGUGCUCGAGUGGCGAACGGGUGAGUAACACGUGAGUAACCUGCCCUUGACUUUGGGAUAACUUCAGGAAACUGGGGCUAAUACCGGAUAGGAGCUCCUGCUGCAUGGUGGGGGUUGGAAAGUUUCGGCGGUUGGGGGUGGACUCGCGGCUUAUCAGCUUGUUGGUGGGGUAGUGGCUUACCAAGGGUUUGACGGGUAGCCGGCCUGGGAGGGUGACCGGCGACAUUGGGCCUGAGAUACGGCCCAGACUCCAACGGGAGGCAGCAGUGGGGAAUAUUGCACAAUGGGCGGAAGCCUGAUGCAGCAACGCCGCGUGCGGGAUGACGGCCUUCGGGUUGUAAACCGCUUUCGCCUGUGACGAAGCGUGAGUGACGGUAAUGAGUAAAGAAGCACCGGCUAACUACGUG
This 468-nucleotide ribosomal RNA is filed under the name uncultured bacterium. RNAcentral describes it as "partial 16S ribosomal RNA". It matches the Rfam family "Bacterial small subunit ribosomal RNA", at positions 28 to 507 of the family's 1533-position model. The record is from RNAcentral.